Molecule: long non-coding RNA, 962 nt
Filed under: Parus major (Great Tit)
Lineage: Eukaryota; Metazoa; Chordata; Aves; Passeriformes; Paridae
Description: lncRNA (ENSPMJG00000007052.1)
Source: RNAcentral
AUCUUGGAGUGAGAUAUAAACUUAAGGCUUUUUCUGGAUGUUUUGAGCAUCUUCAAACAACCAGCACCCAAGCUGUGCACACAGGGAAACCCAUCCCAGAUUUCCUGAGAUGUGAAAUAGGAUCUUGAUUCUGGAGCUUCUAGAAAUAGACAGCAUGUUAGCCAAGGAAAUAUUCUGCAUAAAAUUCACUCUCAAGUUACAUCAGGAACAAGACAGACAAAAUCAAACUUCUUCCCAAGGUAAAUUACAGAUAUUAGCUAAAAGCUAGCUACAGGCUCAUAAUUGAAGCUAAUAUGCUAAUUGUAACAAAGCCUGGACUCCAGCCAGGAUAUAAAGUUAUGUUGCAACAUGAGUAGAUGAUCUCCCGGCAUUAAUGGGUACAGAGUGAUCUAUUUCCUUAGAGCCCCUGUUGAUAUCUUAUCUGUGUCACCAUGAGAUGCUGCUCUCUCACUCAGGGGUGCUAAAAUGUGCUCUUGUAAUGACAGCUUGUUAUGGGUGGGAGCUGCUCAAUGAGUUGCAGCAGGAAAUUACCUCUCCAUCUGCAGACUGCUUUUAGAACCAUUUCUUUGUUUUCCUUGAAAGGUAGCAAUGGGCCACUUUGAUUUGGUGAGCCGGUACAGACCAUGAGCCAGUGAUAUGCAGGAAUAUGACCAUGAAGGUGUCCCAAAGCCUGCAUAAGGUGCCUCUGUGGAUGGAUUUAACUUUGGCAGUGAUACAAAUAACACAUUCUCUACUGGAGAGUGUGUUCACAGAGAAGGAGAGUGGAUGACAAGAUCUGUAAGGAGAAGAGAGCAGCUCUGAGGCAGUUUGUUAGCAGGCAAUUUACAUUCUCAGAAUCUGUUCCAGUGCCAGCCAAAGUCAAUGACAGCCUUCACUGUCUUCAAGGGUUUUUAGAUGAGGCUCCAAUUCUUGAAUGUGAUGACAUAAAGGUAAAAUAUUAAUGCUUUAUUUUUAUUUUUUGU